AACGAACGCUGGCGGCAUGCCUAACACAUGCAAGUCGAACGAAGCCUUCGGGCUUAGUGGCGCACGGGUGCGUAACGCGUGGGAAUCUGCCCCUUGCUUCGGAAUAACAGUUAGAAAUGACUGCUAAUACCGGACGAAGUCUUCGGACCAAAGAUUUAUCGGCAAGGGAUGAGCCCGCGUAGGAUUAGGUAGUUGGUGGGGUAAAGGCCUACCAAGCCGACGAUCCUUAGCUGGUCUGAGAGGAUGAUCAGCCACACUGGGACUGAGACACGGCCCAGACUCCUACGGGAGGCAGCAGUGGGGAAUAUUGGACAAUGGACGCAAGUCUGAUCCAGCAAUGCCGCGUGAGUGAUGAAGGCCUUAGGGUUGUAAAGCUCUUUUACCAGGGAUGAUAAUGACAGUACCUGGAGAAUAAGCUCCGGCUAACUCCGUG
RNAcentral lists this ribosomal RNA (433 nucleotides) under uncultured bacterium. RNAcentral describes it as "partial 16S ribosomal RNA". It matches the Rfam family "Bacterial small subunit ribosomal RNA", at positions 29 to 507 of the family's 1533-position model. The record is from RNAcentral.